AGCUCGCGGUCCCGGGGGCACCGGGCAAGACUGGGACGGGGGGGGGGGGGCCGAGAUGGCUCCGUGCCGGGGCGCGUCCCCACACACGCGCUAGGGCCCACCCCGGGAGGAACCGGUGCAACCGGAGGGGCCGGCCGGGCGGGGGAGGAGACGCGAAGCCGCCGGGUCUCGGCGCGUCCCCAUCCCGCGGUGCUGGCAGCGCCCCCAGCCGGGCCCUGGUUCUUGGGCACCCGCAGCGGCUGCCUGGAACCAAACCUCAUGUAGUGCACACUCCUGACCUCUGUAUGAGCCUUCGUCUGCUAUAGACAAAGACUUGUCAGGCCUCCAAAGACUUCACUGUUCAUACACACUUCUAUCUUGUAAGGAAAAAGAAGCAGAUAUGCUGGAAGUCCUGGGUUGUAGACCAGAAGGAAAAGCCAUUGGAGAUGUUUGGACACUUUGUGGGACUGGGAGGCAGUGUUAUGCUUGGAUUAACUCUGUUUGUACUUAACAUUAAUGAAAGCAGCUCCAAACAUUCUUGAAGUGUAACCUUACCAUAAUUCAUGGUACUUCUGUCCCUGAGCAAGUGUUCCAUACAUGGUUCCCAUAGCUAUUUUAUUAGUGCAUACCCUGAGGGAAAUAAAGACAUGUUUGUGAGCAUUUGGGACUAGAUUUGUGCUUUAUGGCUGAGUCUACAUGAGACACUGAUUAUGCAGUCGUUACUGCACAGUCAUUUAGUACUUGUAUAAACCUGAGUUACUGUGCAGUAGCAUCAACAAAUAGCUUUUUUGUGACGCUAACUGUGCAGUAGCCUGAGACUGCUAUGCUGUAGCGUUGCAUCACGCUUUCUGCCACACAAUGCUACUGUGCAAUAGUCUUGGGCUACUGCGCAGUUAGCAUCUCAUGUAGACGUGGUCUAUGUAAUGUAUUUUAAAUUAUGAUUAGCAAGUAAUCUCUUUCCUGUUAAAAUACCAUGGCUCUUAAUGGAUUUGCUAUGUAUAUAUGCUUUCCUGUCAUGGUUGUUUCUGGAGUACUGUCAUUAAAAUGACCCAACUACCUGGGCACGUCUAAUUAUGGAAAUACUCCAGGGUGGAUUUACUUUAGAGUAAUUUCAUAGAUUCAUAGAUGGUAGGGUCAGAAGGGACCUCAGCAGAUCAUCGAGUCCAACCCCCUGCCUAGGCAGGAAAGAGUGUUGGGGUCAGAUGACCCUAGCCAGAUGCCUAUUCAGCCUUCUCUUAAAGACCCCCAAGGUAGGGGAGAGCACCACCUCUCUUGGAAGCCCAUUCCAAAUUUCCUCUAGGGUAAAUCCAUCCCGGGCAGGCAUCUACAUAUACGGGGACAUGGGAGCAGAUUUGUUGUUCAUGGCAGCAGUGUGCUCCCACCCCCACUGGCCCUACACUGACUCUCUGCAGCAGCCAGGGAAAGCUCUAGACUCCUCCUGGGUGCUAGUCCAGGGGCUGGGAGGGAGCAUGGAGCCAGGUGACAGCUGUCUCCUGGAAGGGACUGGGACAUUACUCCACCACCAGAGCCCAGUGGGGCAGGCUUCACCACCAGAGCCCGGGUGGGGACAAUGUCCAUCUGCCUUGGCAGGAGGAAGCUCCCAGCCCUCACUCUGUGACCAUGGGGCCCAGGCUGAGAGAUUCUUAUUAGCCUGGGCCCUGCAACCCAGGGGGAUAAGAAUCUCUUAGCCCCCACUUCCUGAUUGCGAUUGCAAAGCCGGGGCUGGGAGCUCCCUGCUGCUGGGGUAUGGGGGCAUUGUCCCUGCCCAGGCUUUGAUGACAAGGGAGGUGGUGAUGUAUGGACACCUGACUGAGCAGCAGGGGUCCCAGAUAAAGCAUUUCAAUCAGCUUGUGUCCUGUGUCAGGAAUGCCCUGUGGCAAUGCAGGAACUUCCUGUUAUACAGGCACGCUGAGCUCAAGGAAGCAGACUGUUAAAAUGUUUCUGAGCGAACUUCAGUCCUACCACUGGAAAUCAGCGAGUGAGAAUGGAGAAGACGUAGCCAACUUCAUCUGGAAAAGCAACACGUGGCACAGGUUGUUCAAAGACCCUCCAGGAGUGGAAGUGGACAGAGAGAACGACAGCGGGGAGGGGAAGAGGACAGAGAUGCAACUGGACCUGGAGACAGCAAGAUGGACUACAACAGGAUCAGCAGCAGUGGAAGUGACAGCGACAUGAACAGUGACAGCGACAAGCACAGUGAAUGAACUGAGACUGUAAACCCCAAGUCAGGGUUUGGACUAAAGGACUGCAAUUGGGGUAGGUGAGGGUGGAGGGUGGGUGCGCAGAGGUGCAGGGAGGGGAGUGGGUGCAUUUAGUGUAACAGGAAGCACAGGUUUCUUAAUGCGGUUUUAAGAUGUGUGAUGGAAAGUUUAUGAUAGAGGAUGUAUAUAACUCUCUCUCUCUAGAAAUAUAUUUUAAUUAAAAAAAAAAAAAAAGCUGGAAGCUCCCACCCUUUGAUGCCCAGUUGACUGGGAGCACAUUUGCUCCUGGUCAGCCAUCUGAGUAAAGCAUCUCAUGUAGACAUCCCCCUGAGGCUCAAAGUAAUGUUUUAGUUCUAAGAGUAUUAAUUCCUUUGCCAAACUAAAUCAGUCACUGAGAGAGAAGAAAUUUACUUACACAAGACUUCAAGUGGAGGGUAGGGUUGUUGCCACAAUUGCCUUCUGCUCCUUGAAUUUUUCCAUAAAAUCUAUAAGCCCAAAUGGCAUAAAACCUGGAAAUGCUCUGUUAUGUAUGUUACGCAAAGUAGAUUUUGGUAUCAAAAAAAUGUCCUGCCUUGGAUUAAACCACUAGUGCAAUAAGAA
This is a long non-coding RNA of Alligator mississippiensis (American alligator), 2780 nucleotides long. RefSeq lists it as uncharacterized. The record is from RefSeq and is a predicted model, not a curated record. Lineage: Eukaryota; Metazoa; Chordata; Crocodylia; Alligatoridae. The transcript is spliced from 2 exons.